UAAGAGGGGGAUAACGGUCCGGAAACGGGUGCUAAUACCGCAUAGUUUUCUUGAUUGCAUGAUUGAGAAAGGAAAGACGGCCUUUGUGCUGUCGCUUAUGGAUGGACCCGCGGCGUAUUAGUUAGUUGGUGAGGUAACGGCUCACCAAGACGAUGAUACGUAGCCGACCUGAGAGGGUGAUCGGCCACAUUGGGACUGAGACACGGCCCAAACUCCUACGGGAGGCAGCAGUAGGGAAUCUUCCGCAAUGGACGAAAGUCUGACGGAGCAACGCCGCGUGAGUGAAGUAAAGGGUUUUCGGAUCGUAAAACUCUGUUGUCAGAGAAGAACAAGUUGGAGAGUAACUGCUCCAGCCUUGACGGUAUCUGACCAGAAAGCCACGGCUAACUACGUGCCAGCCGCUGC
RNAcentral lists this ribosomal RNA (405 nucleotides) under uncultured bacterium. RNAcentral describes it as "bacterial SSU rRNA". It matches the Rfam family "Bacterial small subunit ribosomal RNA", at positions 133 to 518 of the family's 1533-position model. The record is from RNAcentral.